Long non-coding RNA from Mytilus californianus (California mussel), 1312 nucleotides. RefSeq lists it as uncharacterized. The record is from RefSeq and is a predicted model, not a curated record. The transcript is spliced from 2 exons. Lineage: Eukaryota; Metazoa; Mollusca; Bivalvia; Mytilida; Mytilidae.
UCAUAUAAAGGACAUCUGAUAAAUUUAGAUUAUAUAUUUAUUUUUUAACUUAUACCAAAUUGUAUUGUCCACAAAAUAUAUUUUAGUGUUUUAAUAUAAGCUUUGUGUCUAUUAUCUAGACUGUAGCAUGUAGUUAAGUGAUAUAAAGCUUAACCAAAGACACAGUGAUCGAGUGUGCUUAUUUUAUCUAAUUAUGUAAAAACAUUCACAAAAUACUGAGAACUUUCACAAAUAUACUAGCUGUGUACAAAUUACUGUACAACAUUACAAUUUGUACACAACAUAUAUACUAAAGCUGAUUUUUGUCAGUCAACUUAAGGUAGCUACAAUGUACCAUUGGAUUUAUAGAGGGGGGGGGGCUAGGAUUAAAAAAAAAAAGUCAGGAUAAACUAAUAAAAAAAGGGCAUAACGGGGAAUAGAGUGAAAAAUAAAAAGGCAGGACAGAGAUUUCAACUAAAAAGAUGCAGGACAAAAUUUUUCAUCCUUAAGCCCCUCCCAUAAAAAUCAAAUGGUAGCUCCCUUAUGCAUGCAGUUUCCUAUAUUUUUUUAAUUAUCACCAUAAUGAUAGUUCUUAUAAUUAAUUGAAUUGAAUUAAAUCACUUUUUUUUUAUUUAUCAAAAUAAAGGAUCCUGUGUAUAUUUUUCUUUCCAGUCACUCACUUAGACAUGACUAAAAGUUGAUUGUGAUAAAAGUAUACAUGUACAUGUAUAAUGUAGCAGUAUAGAAUAGCUUAUCAAAACACUGAUCAAUGUCUAAAAGAGGAGCAGAACCCACUACUUCAAGUGCGCAUAUCGCCUUCAAACAAAAAAGAGGAAAAAAAGAAUGCCCAGGCUGCAAUCAGUGGUUUGGAAAUAGGCACUUCGAAAAUCAUAAAACCAAAUAUUUUAGGCAUGGAAAUUGGAGAUGUAAAACUAGUGAUCCUCAAGAAUGUGAGGUUGAGGAGGAUGUAGUUUUAUCUACAAAUUCAAGUACUGCAGAAAUACAUAAAUCACCCUUGGUGUCAGUGAUCAGAAAAAAAAUACAUCAAAAGUUGAAUUCUGGUUUGAAUCCUGGAGAUGAACAAUCUGAAGAUGAAGAUGAAGAAUUUUGGCACAAUCUAACAUUAGCUGACAUUGAUGCAGACUUCAAUGGGCAGGAUGAAUCAGCUAAUGACACUCAUUAUUUAAAUAAUUUUUCACAUGAUGCUAUAAAUGAUGACAAUUUGAAAAAAACAACUUUUUAUUUAUUUGUUUGUCUGUGCAUUUUUAUCUGUACUUGGCAAUCUUCUCAUGUUAUUCCUGAUAUUGCAGUCCAAAAUUUGUUAUUGUUUUUA